UACAAUGACUUUCGGCANCGGAUAUCUCGGCUCUUGCAUCGAUGAAGAGCGUAGCGAAAUGCGAUACUUGGUGUGAAUUGCAGAAUCCCGUGAACCAUCGAGUCUUUGAACGCAAGUUGCGCCCGAAGCCAUUAGGCCGAGGGCACGUCUGCCUGGGUGUCACA
RNAcentral lists this ribosomal RNA (164 nucleotides) under Coursetia mollis. Its description in RNAcentral is "5.8S ribosomal RNA". It matches the Rfam family "5.8S ribosomal RNA". From Rfam's summary of the family: 5.8S ribosomal RNA (5.8S rRNA) is a component of the large subunit of the eukaryotic ribosome. It is transcribed by RNA polymerase I as part of the 45S precursor that also contains 18S and 28S rRNA. Lineage: Eukaryota; Viridiplantae; Streptophyta; Magnoliopsida; Fabales; Fabaceae. The record is from RNAcentral.